RNAcentral lists this long non-coding RNA (519 nucleotides) under Aquilegia coerulea. RNAcentral describes it as "long non-coding RNA (ACOE_LNC001602)". Lineage: Eukaryota; Viridiplantae; Streptophyta; Magnoliopsida; Ranunculales; Ranunculaceae. The record is from RNAcentral.
GAUAAAGAAAUGAAAGCAUAUAGUUUUCAAAUGUGAUUCCAAAUUAAGUACACAACUUAUUACACAAUCUGUGGAUGACCCCAUUGAGAGAUAUAUGAACUGUGAAUAUUUACAAAUUACAACUGACGAAAAUUCUAAAGAUGAUAAAUAAGAACAUUUGACGAGAAUGGACCGCAUGACCAAAAUUAUUUAAAUCAAAAUUUUAUUUAGCUUGUAUGCAUUGAGUACCCACAUUUCAGUUUAAACAUUUGGGGUACAUAAAAAACACUUCAAAUCCCUUUUCAAUAUUUCUUCUGAAUCAUACAACACUUUAAAGAUGAUCUAACUAUAAAAGUAUACCUACAUUAAAAUUCAUUGCAACACUUGACAAUCUAACCUUAACGUUUCUGAUUUUCAAGAUCUUCUAUUACACAUCAUUUUUUCUAAAAAAAAGUUAGGGUCUGUUUGAUUUGGGCGGGAAAAGAGUUUACCGGGAAAUAAAUUUACCAUGUGCAAAUAUUCGGGAAAUAAAAUUUUAAU